This 448-nucleotide unclassified non-coding RNA is filed under the name Hevea brasiliensis (rubber tree). The record is from RNAcentral. Lineage: Eukaryota; Viridiplantae; Streptophyta; Magnoliopsida; Malpighiales; Euphorbiaceae.
GGAAGGUCAGUUCUUAUUUAAUCUUCUUUUAAGUUGGAUUAGUGUUAAAUUUAGUGCUAUUGCCUUUGUUAAAUGGAUUAUCCAGUCAAUUCUACUUGCAAUCUGGUUUUAGUUACUGAUCUAUCUGCGUGUUCGAGAUUUGUUUCCUUUCAAUUGGAAAGGGUCACAGUGGAAAUAAUUUGUGCUUUGGUUUUAAUCAAUUUUAAACUACUGUGUCAGGUGUAUGAUGUAACACAUUUUCUGGAGGAACACCCUGGAGGAGAUGAAGUGCUGAUAGCAGCUACUGGUAAGAUUGCAACUUUAGUAAACCAAGCAAGCUCAUUGCUCAUUUGUCGCUACUUAAAUUUUUCCCUGCUGCGUUAAGUUCUUCCAUGGUUAUUAAUCAAGAAAGUUCAUGAUUUGGUACGACUUCAUCAAAUUUUUCCAUUUGAAAUUUUGCAGGGAAAGA